Molecule: ribosomal RNA, 465 nt
Filed under: uncultured bacterium
Lineage: Bacteria
Description: partial 16S ribosomal RNA
Rfam family: Bacterial small subunit ribosomal RNA
Source: RNAcentral
CUACGGGUUGCUCCAGUGAGGAAUUUUGCGCAAUGGGGGAAACCCUGACGCAGCAACGCCGCGUGAGUGAUGAAGGCUUUCGGGUCGUAAAACUCUGUCAAGUGGGAAGAAACUGAAAGGUGCAAAUAACAUCUUUUUUUGACGGUACCACUGAAGGAAGCACCGGCUAACUCCGUGCCAGCAGCCGCGGUAAUACGGGGGGUGCAAGCGUUAUUCGGAAUCAUUGGGCGUAAAGGGCGCGUAGGCGGCCUCUUAAGUCAGAUGUGAAAGCCCGGGGCUUAACCCCGGAAGUGCAUUUGAAACUAAGGGGCUUGAGUAUGGGAGAGGGAAGUGGAAUUCCUGGUGUAGAGGUGAAAUUCGUAGAUAUCAGGAGGAACACCGGUGGCGAAGGCGACUUCCUGGACCAAUACUGACGCUGAGGCGCGAAGGCGUGGGGAGCAAACAGGAUUAGAUACCCUGGUAGUC